UCCGCACAUAUAAGCUGCACGGAAUAUAUAUAAGUAUAGAGACGCCAGAAACAAGUUACUGCAACUAAAGUAACAAAUAGAUAACUUCUGAACUUACAUUUAGAAUGUGAAGAUUUCCCGAACAUUUCAGACGACCCUUUUGACCCUUUUUUUUGGCAAGACACUUUUUGUAUGCAACUAUGACAUUAAUGAGAUGUUUAGCAAAAAACAUGCACCAGUUCAAGCCCUUUAUGUUUUUCCUAUUUUGGUCGAGAUUUCUCAGAAAAUUUGUAUCUAUCGUGUUACAUUNNNN
Molecule: long non-coding RNA, 292 nt
Filed under: Hordeum vulgare
Lineage: Eukaryota; Viridiplantae; Streptophyta; Magnoliopsida; Poales; Poaceae
Description: long non-coding RNA (HVUL_LNC001972)
Source: RNAcentral